UUUUUCUAGUUUCUAAGUUGUAAGCUUAGACAUUUGUCUUAUUUUUAAAUAUAAGUAUUUGUAGCUAUAAAAUUUCCCCUUAGUACUGUUUUCAUUACUUCCAUAUGUUUGGAUAUGUUGUGUUUUUGUUUUCAUUUGUCUUUUAAGUAUUAUCUAAUUCCCCUUGUGUUUUCUUAUUUAAUCCAGUUGUUGCUUAAGAUUGUGUUAUUCAAUUUUCACAAAUUUUUGAAUUUUUCAGUUUUCCUUCUGUUACUGAUUUCUAAUGCCAUCCUAUUGUGAUCAGAGAAGACACUCUGUACAAUGUCUGUCUUUUAAAAUUUACUGAGACUUCAUUUGUGGCCUUGCAUAUGGUCUAUCCUGGAAAAUGUCUCACGUGUACUUGAGAAGAAUGUGUAUGCUGUUGUUAGGUAGAGUGUUUGGCAUGUAUCUGUUAGAUCCAGCUGGUUUACUGUUUUGUUCAAGUCCUCUGUUUUCUUACUUAACUUCUGUCUUUUGUCUCUUUGCUAGCAUUUUUUAUUUAAAGUCUAUUUUUUCUGAUAUUAGUAUAGCCAACUCUGCUCUGUUUUGGUUUACUAUUUACAUGGAAUAUCCUUUUCUGUCCUUUUACUUUUAACCUAUUUGCAUCACUGGUUCUAAAGUAAGUCUGUGAAGACAGUAUAUAGUUGGAUUAUGAUUUUUUAAAACCAUUUUGUCAACCUCUGUCUAUUGACUAGGCUGUUUAAUCCAUUUACAUUUAAAGUAAUUACUGUUAAGGAGAGGUUUGAUUCUGUCAUUUUGUGACUUGUUUUCUAUAUGCCUUAUAGGUUUAUUUUGUCCCUCAUUUCCUGUAUUCCUGUCUUCUUUUGUGUUUGGUUGAUUUCUUGUUUUGAUAAUGAAAUGAUUAAAUUCCUUUUCGAUUUUUUCUGUAUAUUCUUUAGCUGUUGUCUUUGUGGUUACCAUGGAAAUUAUAUUUAACAUCCUGAAGUUAUUACACUGUAAUUUGAAUUUAUGCCAGCUUAACUUCUAUAACAUAUAAAAACUGUGCUACUUUAACAACAUUAUACCCUCCCCUUUCUGUUGUUGAUGUCAUAAAAUUACAUCUAUAUAUCUUGACUUCCUCAAAACAUCAACUAAUAAUUUUUAUCCAUUAGUCUCUUAAAUUAUAUAGAAAACAAAACAUGGAGUUAUAAACCAAAGUUAUAAUAAUAUUGAUUUUUAGACCAAUAUAUUUUAAAAAUCCGUUAUUCUCUUAAUUCAUAUAGAAACAAAAAGUGGAAUUACAUACCAUGUUAAAAUAACACUAGCUUUUCUACUUACAAAUAUAUUUACCAAUACAAAGACCUUUAUUUCUUUAUAUAGCUUCAAGUUACUGUCUAGCAUCACCUCAUUUUAACCUUCUGGACUCCCUUUAGCAUUUCUUGAAGGGCAGAUCUAGUUCUAAUAAAUUUUCUCAGGUUUUAUCUGGGAAUGCCUUAAUUUCUUCUUCACUCCUUUACUUCUUUUGCAGUACAGUUUUGUUGGAUACGUGAUUAUUGGCUGACAGUUUUUUUUCUUUUACCACUUUGAAUAUCUGAGCCUUCUGGCCUGUAAAGCUUCUAAUGAAAAAAUCUGCUGAUAAUCUUAGUGAGGAUCCCUAGUGCAUGACAAAUCUCUUCUCUUCUGCUGCUUUCAAAAUUCUCUCUUUGUCUCUGACUUUCAAUAGUAGUAUUUAUAAUGUGUUUUGGUGUGAGUCUUUCAGGCUCACCCUAUUUGUAUUUUGGUGAGCUUUUUGAUGUUCAUAUUCAUGUCAUUCAACAAAUUUGGGAAGUUUUUAUUCAUUAUUUCUUCAAAUAAUCUCUCUGCCCCUUUCUGUCUCCCUCUUUUCCUUCUGGGGCUCUCACAAUGCAUACGUUGGUUCACUUGAUGGUGUACCACAGGUCCCUUAGGCUCUGUUCAUCUUUCUUCAACUUUUUUUUUCUCUCUGUUCCUCAGACUUAAUUUUCAUUGACCUAUCUUUAAAUUCAUUAAUUCUUUCUUCUGCCUGUCAAAAUCUGCCUUUGAGUUCUAGUGAAUUUCUCAUGUCAGUCAUUAUAUUUUUCAGCUUUACAAUUUAUUUUUGGUUUCUUUGCAUCACUCUCUCUUUAUUGAUGUUGCCCUUUUGAUCAGACAUUAUUUUCUUGACUUUCCCCAAUUAUUCCUUUAGUUUUUUUGAUCAUCUCUAUGAUAGGUAGUUUAAGUAUCUGGCUAAUGGAUCCAUCAUUAGGUCUUUUCAGCUCAGUGUCCAUUGGUUUAUUUAUUUAUUUUCCCUUUAAUGCUUAAUACGUUCCUGUUGCUCUAUAUGCCUUGUAAUUUUAUUUUUGUUGAAAACUGGACAUAUGAAUCGAAUAAUAUGAUAAUUCUUGAAAUCAGAUUCUCCCCCUUUGCUAGGGUUGCUGGUAUUUGUUUUCAUGUUUUUGAUUGUUGUAGGCCAACUCUAUAGCAAGGAUCACUCUGAGGUAUAAACUUAAAGUCUUUUCUGAGCCAGUGCCUUGCCUGGAACAUGCACAGUAGCUAUCUAAAGUCUCCCACAUAUGUAGUUGCUUUUGAAUGUCCUAGUUUUCAAUAUCUGGGUCCCAAAAAGGGAAAGAAGAAAAAUUAAGGGAAGCGAAAAAAGGCAUCAGCCCUUUAAAUUCCCUAGGAGUCACUUCAGCUAGAGAGGAAGGUACAACAAUAAUGGCUACCACCUCUUUUUUGUACCUCUGUGAUUGAAAACGGCAAUCAGUAAUCAGAAUACAGAUCCCAAUAUUUGCAGGAUAGAGUCCUUUUUGCCCACCGUGGCUCCCACAAGCCAUGUGCAAACCAGGAGUACAUGCACAGCUGCCUGCCAUGGGGCUGAAAGAUGGGGAAUGGGUAGUUAUUACUGUGCUAAGAACUGAAAUUGAUUGAAAUUAAUCACAAUUUGUGCCCCUUUCCCUGGAAUAUUCAGGCCUUCAGUGGACUCCAGAGUUCCAAAAUAGCUACAACAGACAGAUUCUGCCAAUGCAAUUGUUAUCUAUGUGGAAAUACAGAUUUCUCAAGCUUCAUACUCUAUAAUCUUCCCAUCAAUUAUAUUUUAAUAUACCUAUGUUUAUAGGGAAAGAAUGCCAAAAAGAUUUAAAAAAAUCACAGACCUUUAAUAGCUCUUUGGGGAUUUUUGAGCAAUUUCAGUAAUCUUCUAAAAUAAUAUUUAGAAUAUCUUCUAAAAUAAUAGAGAUCUUAGAAAUUAUAAAGACAAAAAAGAUUAUUUGUGUUGACAUUCAAUACUUUUUCUUCUGAAAUUCCCAAAGUACUUACAUUUAGGAUAUAUUAGAUAAAUUAGGUAACGCAAUGGGAAGGUAAGCUAUUCUAAGUUUUCCAGCCUUGUUAUUAUCCAGUAAUAAUGCCAUUCAACUUGCUGGCACUUAGAUUGUCUGAGGAACCUUUCCAAAUAUGGUGUCAUAUAAAUGCCAUUGUAAAGCUCUACCAGAAUAGCAUUAUCAGAUUCUUCCUUCAAUGCCCAGUAACAAUAAAACACUUGGGGAAAAAGAUCUCAUUUCAGAGUCCCUGUCUCUCAUCCUUCACUCUUGAGUAUUCAGCUGCAUCUGUCAUUCUUUGUUUUUAUAUUUCUGUUUAUUCAAAUAUCACAUGAUCCUAAAACAGAAUAAAUCCUGUCAUCAUGCAAAUUCCAUUUAGGACAGUACUCUCAUAUAUGAGGUCAGGUUCAUAUCCCUUUAUAGGCAAUCAAGCUAAUGUAUAUAGUUGUUUGUUAAGAAAUAAGAUUCUCGGCCAGGCUCAGUGGCUCAUGCCUGUAAUCUCAGCACUUUGGGAGGCCAAGGCAGGCAGAUCACUUGAGGCCAGGAGUUUGAGACCAGCCUGGCCAACAUGGUGAAAGCCCAUGGCUCCAUUAAAAAUACAAAAAUUAGACAGGUGUUGUGGUGCACGUCUGUAAUCCCAGCUACUCAGGAGGCUGAGGCAUGAGAAUCACUUGAGCCUGGCAGGUGGAGGUUGCAGUGAGCUGAGAUCAUGCUACUGCGCUCCAGCCUGGGUGACAGAAUGAGACUCUGUCACAGAAAAAAAAAAGAUGAGAUUCUCCCAUUAUUAAAUGCAUAUGAAAAAGAUCAAAUAAUGCAUGCGAUAUGAGUUGUGUCCAAACCACAAUCUCAUGGAGGCAAAAUUAUCAAGACUUCAAUCCGAUUGGUGGCUUGCAAACUACCCUAGGCCUCCAACCCACAAAUAUAUACAGCCUCCAACCCACAAAUAUAAACAGACACAGAUGAAAUCUGGAUGCUAGGAAUUCGUUUCCUAAACUUUCCAACAGCACGUACCUGAGGGACUGUAUGGAAGAGAUGAAACAAGAGACAUGUUUAGGAGGAAGGAGCUAGUUGUUUACCAAUUAAUGACGAACUAUCUAAAACUUCUUUGCUCUCUAAAAGUAAGACUUGUAAUGUUUUCAGAAAUAAAUAUGGGUUAUUCUUAAUCAGGUAUAUUAUAAGAGUAGCUUAUAGAAGGAGAUAUGCAUUGUUUCUGCAGUGAAGGAAAAAGCAUAAUUUAAUUUUUGACAAAAUCAGAAAUAUUAUAAGGUAUAUGUUCAGCUGCAGAAGCUAUAAUACCUUUGACUUUAGUUCUUUAAAAUAAAUUAUAGAUACACAACUAUAUGCACUAACAGCCUAAAAGUAAGUCAUGCUGGGUUUUUUUCCAUACAAUUUUAAUUAGGUAUAUUUUUUCCAAUGUGUUUUGAAAUGAUCUGCUAGGACCAAAUGCUAACAUGAAAUUCCCUGCAUGCUGGUAGUUAAUUUAAUAAAAAUUAGAAAGGUGAAGCCCUGUUCCCUAGAGGGAGAAGGUCUUAACACAAAACAUUCAUUAUUUCCACAUAAAUUGCAAAAAGUAAAGAUGCUGGAUUUAAAAUCUAAGCAGGAAGAAACUGUCAACUUUCAUUAUCAGUGGACAAAUGUUUUAAUUUGCAAUAUUCCCUAGCAACUUUUUGAACAGACAACUUUACCUCUUUACCAACAUCUACUUUAAUUCCUAAUUUGCAGCUGCAUAAGUACUAUGUUGGGCCCAAAGCUUUGGGUAUAUCUCUUAGAGGUAAUGGAAUCCUUGUUGUUUUCUGGCACUGCCUCAUUAAAAUGAAACUCAGACUCAGGGUAACCCUGAAAAACCUAAGCCCUCCAAUAAAAAAUGUGGUAUAUCCCUGCACUUAAAUUACGCAGGAGAAGUGAAGGCUGGUACAUCACACACAGAAGAGAAGCUAAAGGUCAAGCUAUUAGAGUUAAUGAGCCGAUACAAGCUCAGGCUCUCUAACCAGAGAGGUUAGGGACAGAAUACAUGGCCACCCCAAGGAACUUUAUUUAAGAUAUCAAUUAAAAAUGAGUCACCUCUCUUCUCAGCUCCUGCACUCAACACUGACACUGGGAACAAUGACUGAAGGACUCACACAUGUCUGAGAAAAGGCACCUUGUGGGUGUGACUUGCCACAAAAGCAAGAGUCUUUCUGCAUUUGUAAAUGUGUUGGUAAGGCAACAAAAAGAAUACUACUGUGCAAGGGGAGGUAGAGGUGGUGAUCCUGGCAACCUAAAAGCCUGAUUGUAUGUUCUAAUCCAUUCUGAUGUCACCAAAGCUCCCCUUCGAGGGAAUAACCUGGAUUAUGGCCAAUACUUUCUACUUCUAAUAGUCUUCCAGUUUCAUUGUUCACAAGGGGUUGGUAAACAAAAAUCAAUGAAAAGAGCAGGGUCUUCUCUAUUUUGGAUUUGGACACUGAUGAUGAAGCUGUGAUAUUCUGAUCCAGGACUCAAUGGCUCCUCCUGGAUCUUCUAACAAGGUCAAUCUGGCUGAGUUCCAGACAGUCAGCUGAUGGUCUCAUAUGAGGAAUCUAAAGUUGAUGAAGAUGGUGGUAGUAGAGUGGUGUAAUCCUCAUAGCUCAAAAACGAUCAGAGCUCAUUAAUUAUUAACUAACUAGAACUUUUAUGGCUCAUUAGCUACUGGUUAAAUGUCAGUGGGCUGCCUUGUGCCUGGGUCUGAAGAGAAGAGGAAGAAAGAGGGGAGUCUGAUGGACAAAGCUCUGUGGAGGACGUGGCACUGAGCAGAAACUUGAAACAGAGCUUGACUGGCUGGCAGGAUGAGAAGAAUGGACUCUUGGCUGAAGGGGAAGCAAGCACAAGCACAUAGAGAUGAGGAAGCAUGGGUGGUGGUAUAUAGGGUACCAUGCAUGUGUCAAAAAUCAAAACCAGGGAGCCCAGCCUCUAAUAUGAGAAGAUUCCAGAUUUCAAAAGCACUAGGUACUAUUUGAUAAACCAAACAUUUUCCCUGUUAUUGCUAGAAGCAGACACACAUAGGCACAUUUGCAUCCUCUAUAUUGAUACUUCUCAAAUCAUCCAUAGUAAAGGGCGUGUGUGUGUGUG
This 6353-nucleotide long non-coding RNA is filed under the name Homo sapiens (human). Its description in RNAcentral is "HSALNT0312038". The record is from RNAcentral. Lineage: Eukaryota; Metazoa; Chordata; Mammalia; Primates; Hominidae.